Molecule: ribosomal RNA, 367 nt
Filed under: uncultured bacterium
Lineage: Bacteria
Description: bacterial SSU rRNA
Rfam family: Bacterial small subunit ribosomal RNA
Source: RNAcentral
AAAGGGGCUUCGGCCCUGAGUAAAGUGGCGCACGGGUGAGUAACACGUAGGUAACCUGCCUCUAAGAUUGGGAUAACAUGUCGAAAGACGUGCUAAUACCGAAUGAGACCACAGUUUCCUCGGAAACAGGGGUCAAAGGUAGCCUCUAUUUAUAAGCUAUCACUUAGAGAUGGGCCUGCGUACCAUUAGCUAGUUGGUAGGGUAACGGCCUACCAAGGCGAAGAUGGUUAGCUGGUCUGAGAGGAUGAUCAGCCACACUGGAACUGAGACACGGUCCAGACUCCUACGGGAGGCAGCAGUGGGGAAUAUUGCGCAAUGGGCGAAAGCCUGACGCAGCAACGCCGCGUGAGUGAUGAAGGCCUUCGGG